ACUCCUACGGGAGGCAGCAGUGGGGAAUAUUGCACAAUGGGCGCAAGCCUGAUGCAGCCAUGCCGCGUGUGUGAAGAAGGCCUUCGGGUUGUAAAGCACUUUCAGUCGUGAGGAAGGUAGUGUAGUUAAUAGCGCAUUUAAUUGUCGUUAGCGACAGAAGAAGCACCGGCUAACUCCGUGCCAGCAGCCGCGGUAAUACGGAGGGUGCGAGCGUUAAUCGGAAUUACUGGGCGUAAAGCGCAUGCAGGUGGCUUUGUU
RNAcentral lists this ribosomal RNA (258 nucleotides) under uncultured bacterium. RNAcentral's name for it is "partial 16S ribosomal RNA". It matches the Rfam family "Bacterial small subunit ribosomal RNA", at positions 335 to 585 of the family's 1533-position model. The record is from RNAcentral.